CUCAAAAUCAAAUGAUCAAAUGUUAGCUGGGAAUGGUGGCUCACACCUGUAAUCCCAGUAGCUCAGGAAGCUGAAGCAGAAGGGUCACAAUUUCCAGGCCAGCCUCAGCAAUUUAGUGAGGCCCUGAGUUAGUGAGAGCCUGUCUCAAAAUGAAGCAGGAGGAUUGAAAGUUCAAAGCUAGCCUCAGCAAUUUAAAAAGGCCCUAAGCAAAUUAGUGAGACCCUGUCUCAAAAUAAAAAAUAAAAUGGGCUGGUAAAGUGCCCCUGGGUUCCAUCCCCAAUACAAAAACAAAAACAAAAAUCAAAUGUUAAAAGGGAUUGGGGAUGUAGCAUAUAGCUCAGUGGUAGAGCAUUUGCCUAGCAUGUCUGAAGUCCUGGUUUCAAUCUUCAGUACAGAAAAACAAAGUAUUGUAGGGACAGAUGAGGCAAGACACUGAAGAUAGCAGGAAAUAGUUUUAUUUGGCUGCAGCCAGGCUCAGAGGGCCACAGCUUUUGCUGUAAUCCAUCAAUCCCCUGAACUCCAAGUUCAGGUAGUUUCAGAAUUUUAUACCUAGAAUGUAAGGGGAGGGGCUCAGAAGUUCACAGUCUGCAGAAGUGCACAUAAAAGAAGCUUUUUCUUUCACUGUUCUGGGCAAGUUAACCCUUCAAGGACAGCACCUGAGAAGGGGAGAGCUUUUUCUCCCCUUUCUUUCCUCCCCCUGCCAGCUGUUACCAUGGAGCCCAACUGGUAACUUCUCUUAUCUUAGAAAUGUAGACAUUUCUGUGAACAUCUCAUGCUCAAGGCCAGAGGCGUUGUUUAUAUAUCUCUACAAUCUACUGUACUGGAUAAAUGUUUGUGAAAAACUUCUAAGGGGGUGUCUAGCACCUGGAGUGGCGGUUUCUUUAGGCUAGUGGUCAAAUAAAAUACGGCAACAUGAAAAUAGGAAGUUUAUCUACAUUGAACUCUUUUGUAGAGACUCUUUCACUGACAGUCCUAAAAUCAGCCAUGGUGAACAUUUCUGAAGAAGCCCAGUUAAGAUUUUUGUGGAGGAGGGGGUACCACUACAAAAAAGCAAGGUUACAAGGAGUCAGCUGACAUUAGUAUUAAAAGGUGAAAGCUA
This 1099-nucleotide long non-coding RNA is filed under the name Marmota monax (woodchuck). Lineage: Eukaryota; Metazoa; Chordata; Mammalia; Rodentia; Sciuridae. The record is from RNAcentral.